GGCAGCAGUGGGAAUAUUGGACUAUGGGCGAAAGCCUGAUCCAGCCAUGCCGCGAGUGUGAAGAAGGUCUUCGGAUUGUAAAGCACUUUAAGUUCGGAGGAAGGGCUGUAAGGGAAUACCUUGCAGUUUUGAGGUUACCGACAGAAUAAGCACCGGCUAACUUCGGCCAGCAGCCGCGGUUAUACGAAGGGUGCAAGCGUUAAUCGGAAUUACUGGGCGUUAAGCGCGCGUAGGUGGUAUGGUAAGUUGGAUGUGAAUGCCCCGGGCUCAACCUGGGAACUGCAUCCAAAACUGCCUGACUAGAGUU
This 307-nucleotide ribosomal RNA is filed under the name Azotobacter chroococcum. RNAcentral's name for it is "bacterial SSU rRNA". It matches the Rfam family "Bacterial small subunit ribosomal RNA", at positions 347 to 648 of the family's 1533-position model. Lineage: Bacteria; Pseudomonadati; Pseudomonadota; Gammaproteobacteria; Pseudomonadales; Pseudomonadaceae. The record is from RNAcentral.